This 22-nucleotide microRNA is filed under the name Dinoponera quadriceps. Its description in RNAcentral is "dqu-miR-2b-5p". Its record names the gene dqu-miR-2b-5p. Lineage: Eukaryota; Metazoa; Arthropoda; Insecta; Hymenoptera; Formicidae. The record is from miRBase by way of RNAcentral.
CCAUCAAAGUUGGUUUGUCAUA